GGUGAACCGCGAAUGGCUCAUUAAAUCAGCUAUGGUUCCUUGGAUCAUAAUGCUACUACACGGAUAACUGUAGUAAUUCUAGAGCUAAUACGUGCCUCGAUGCCCUGAUCCGUAAGGUGAGGGGUGCAUUUGUUAGAUCGCAAACCAAACGGUUUCGACCGUGGCUUGUGAUGACUCUGGAUAAUUUCGUAUGAUCGCAGCUGGCCUUGUUGUCGGCGAUGGAUCCAUCAAAUAUCUGCCCUAUCAACUUUCGAUGGUAGGUGACAUGCCUACCAUGGUGAUGACGGGUAACGGGGAAUCAGGGUUCGAUUCCGGAGAGGGAGCCUGAGAAACGGCUACCACAUCCAAGGAAGGCAGCAGGCGCGCAAAUUACCCACUCUCUGAUCGAGGAGGUAGUAAAGACAAAUAUCGAUACAGAACCUCGCAAGAGGCUCUGUAAUCGAAAUGAGUGCAUCUUAAAUCCCACAACGAGGAUCUAUUGGAGGGCAAGUCUGGUGCCAGCAGCCGCGGUAACUCCAGCUCCAAUAGCAUAUAUUAAAGUUGCUGCAGUUAAAAAGCUCGUAGUUGGAUCUGGGCUUCGCUGCGAUUGCCAUUCUUAGUUGGACUCGCUUCUGUGAGACUGACGGGAUGGUAUAUUCGAGCGUUGCUUCGUAGCUGUGUCCUUGUGCCUUUGCGGGUGCUUGGAUGGGGCUGGGUGUCUGGGAUGACCCCUUAAACGGGGGUUGUUUCGGCUCAGCUCUAUGUGCCGUGAUGUCCUUCACUGGGUGUCCGGGGCUCGCAGCACGUUUACUUUGAACAAAUUUGAGUGCUCAAAGCAGGCCGCUUGUUGCCUGAAAAUUCUUGCAUGGAAUAAUGAAAUAGGACUUUGGUCCUAUUUUGUUGGUUUGAUAGAACCAAAGUAAUGAUAAAGAGAGACAGACGGGGGCAUUUGUAUGGCGGCGCGAGAGGUGAAAUUCGUGGACCGUCGCCAGACAACCUAAAGCGAAAGCAUCUGCCAAGUAUGUUUUCAUUUACCAGGAGCGAAAGUCAGAGGUUCGAAGACGAUCAGAUUCCGUCCUAGUUAUGACCAUAAACGAUGCCAGCUGACGAUCCGUGGUAGUUCUUUACAUGAGCCCACGGGCAGUCUCCGGGAAACCCGUCA
Molecule: ribosomal RNA, 1141 nt
Filed under: Dactylogyrus sp. DLGX
Lineage: Eukaryota; Metazoa; Platyhelminthes; Monogenea; Dactylogyridea; Dactylogyridae
Description: SSU rRNA
Rfam family: Eukaryotic small subunit ribosomal RNA
Source: RNAcentral